This 453-nucleotide ribosomal RNA is filed under the name uncultured Bacillus sp. Its description in RNAcentral is "bacterial SSU rRNA". It matches the Rfam family "Bacterial small subunit ribosomal RNA", at positions 930 to 1382 of the family's 1533-position model. The record is from RNAcentral. Lineage: Bacteria; Bacillati; Bacillota; Bacilli; Caryophanales; Bacillaceae.
CGGUGGAGCAUGUGGUUUAAUUCGAAGCAACGCGAAGAACCUUACCAGGCCUUGACAUGCAGAGAACUUUCCAGAGAUGGAUUGGUGCCUUCGGGAACUCUGACACAGGUGCUGCAUGGCUGUCGUCAGCUCGUGUCGUGAGAUGUUGGGUUAAGUCCCGUAACGAGCGCAACCCUUGUCCUUAGUUACCAGCACGUUAUGGUGGGCACUCUAAGGAGACUGCCGGUGACAAACCGGAGGAAGGUGGGGAUGACGUCAAGUCCUCAUGGCCUUUAUGACCAGGGCUACACACGUACUACAAUGGCCGAUACAAAGGGCAGCGACACUGCGAGGUGAAGUCAAUCCCGUAAAAUCGGUCUCAGUCCGGAUUGGAGUCUGCAACUCGACUCCAUGAAGUUGGAAUCGCUAGUAAUCGUGGAUCAGCAUGCCACGGUGAAUACGUUCCCGGGCCUU